AGGGGUGUAGUUCAAUGGUAGAACAACGGUCUCCAAAACCGUAUGCUGUGGGUUCAAGUCCUGUCACCCCUG
Spiroplasma eriocheiris is the source of this 72-nucleotide transfer RNA. It matches the Rfam family "tRNA". From Rfam's summary of the family: Transfer RNA (tRNA) molecules are approximately 80 nucleotides in length. The record is from Rfam. Lineage: Bacteria; Bacillati; Mycoplasmatota; Mollicutes; Entomoplasmatales; Spiroplasmataceae.